AUGGCCCAAUAUCUAGCUGUUUGCUCUGCUGUAUCACAUCACAUGAACAUCAAAUUUUCUGUGACCGGCCGCGAUUAUCAUGGACAAGUUGCUGAUCCCCCAAUCGGCGUUAGCGGAGGAAAAUUAUACACAGCCACGCCCCACCUCCCUCUUUAUCCUUCACCACUCGGCAGCCGAGUAAAAUUCCACGCCUCUCUAGCCACCUUCUCUGCCUCUCAUCCUCCCAUCCCAUCACCAGCACACGCCCCCACCGUUCCCCGACCGCCCCUCCUCCCAAUGGCCGGACCGCAUGGCCGACGCUCCUCGCUCCCGAUCCACAGCUCGAAUCCGCGCCGCAUCCUCGAGUCACCGUCCCGCCGCCAUCAUGCCCCCCGCCCGCAUCUCGGACUUCCUCGACCUCGCUUGCCGGGACAGCCGCAGAGGAAAUACCUCGGCGUCUGCCAGCGCGCGUGGAGGACUUGGGUGGUGGAGAUCACCGACUGGGAGAUCCACACGAAGAAGUGGAUCGGGUCAUUCCACACAGCAGAGCUCGCCGCCCUGGAAUAUGACUGGUGGCAGGUCCGGUUCCAUGGUGCGGUGGCAAGGCUCAAUUUUCUGUUUGGGACGGUGCUCGUCCACCUCAUCCUGGUGGUGCCGAGGGUGGUGGAUGCGGCGAUGGCUCGGGAGGACCGGGAGGCGAGGGAGCGCCUCGCGGUGGAGGCCGCCGACGAGGAAUACAUGGCGGACCUCUGCCGUCAGCACCCCGAGCUCGUGGAGGCAGAGGGGGCCAUCUUUGUGGAGCUAGCGGUCGACGACGAGGUCAUCGUUACCUUCGACGGCGAGGAGCAAGGAGGCGGCGACGACAACAGCGCGGAGAAGGAAUUCGACACCGAGAAGUGGCGGCGCAUCUUCCCAGACUCCAGCGAUGACGGCACUGCCCGGACUAGCCGAUCCCCAAUCGGCGUUAGCGGAAGAAAAUUAUCCUCAGCCACGCCCCAGCUUCCUAUUUAUCCUUCACCACUCGGUAGCCGAGUAAAAUUCCACACCUCUCUAGCCACCUUCUCUGCCUCUCAUCCUCCCAUCCCAUCGCCAGCGCAUGCCCCCACCGUUCCCCGACCACCCCUCCUCCCAAUGAGGAAAUACCUCGACGUCUGCCAGCACGCGUGGAGGACUUGGGUGGUGGAGAUCACCGACCGGGAGAUCAACACGAAGAAGUGGAUCGGGUCAUUCCACACAGCGGAGCUCGCCGCCCUGGAAUAUGACCGGUGGCAGGUCCGGUUCCAUGGCGCGAUGACGAAGCUCAAUUUUCUGUUUGGGACGGCGCCCGUCCACCUCGUCCCGGUGACGCCGGGGGUGGUGGAUGCGGCGACGGCUCGGGAGGACCGGGAGGCGAGGGAGCGCCUCGCGGUGGAGGCCGUCGACAAGCCCGAGCUCGUGGAGGCAGAGGGCGCCAUCUUUGUGGAGCUGGCGGUCGACAACAAGGUCAUCAUUACCUCCAACGGCGAGGAGCAAGGCGGCGGCGACGACAACAACGCGGAGAAGGAGUUCAACGCUGAGGAGUGA
This 1542-nucleotide ribosomal RNA is filed under the name Triticum aestivum (bread wheat). RNAcentral's name for it is "partial small subunit ribosomal RNA". Lineage: Eukaryota; Viridiplantae; Streptophyta; Magnoliopsida; Poales; Poaceae. The record is from RNAcentral.